This 665-nucleotide ribosomal RNA is filed under the name uncultured bacterium. Its description in RNAcentral is "bacterial SSU rRNA". It matches the Rfam family "Bacterial small subunit ribosomal RNA", at positions 828 to 1498 of the family's 1533-position model. The record is from RNAcentral.
UCUUAAUUGACUUGGUAACGCAGCUAACGCGUGAAGUUGACCGCCUGGGGAGUACGGUCGCAAGAUUAAAACUCAAAGGAAUUGACGGGGACCCGCACAAGCGGUGGAUGAUGUGGAUUAAUUCGAUGCAACGCGAAAAACCUUACCUACCCUUGACAUGUCAGGAACCUCUGAGAGAUUAGAGGGUGCCCGAAAGGGAACCUGAACACAGGUGCUGCAUGGCUGUCGUCAGCUCGUGUCGUGAGAUGUUGGGUUAAGUCCCGCAACGAGCGCAACCCUUGUCAUUAGUUGCUACGAAAGGGCACUCUAAUGAGACUGCCGGUGACAAACCGGAGGAAGGUGGGGAUGACGUCAAGUCCUCAUGGCCCUUAUGGGUAGGGCUUCACACGUCAUACAAUGGUACAUACAGAGGGCUGCCAACCCGCGAGGGGGAGCUAAUCCCAGAAAGUGUAUCGUAGUCCGGAUUGGAGUCUGCAACUCGACUCCAUGAAGUUGGAAUCGCUAGUAAUCGCGGAUCAGCAUGUCGCGGUGAAUACGUUCCCGGGUCUUGUACACACCGCCCGUCACACCAUGGGAGCGGGUUUUACCAGAAGUAGGUAGCUUAACCGCAAGGAGGGCGCUUACCACGGUAGGAUUCGUGAAUGGGGUGAAGUCGUAACAAGGUA